Molecule: ribosomal RNA, 497 nt
Filed under: uncultured bacterium
Lineage: Bacteria
Description: partial 16S ribosomal RNA
Rfam family: Bacterial small subunit ribosomal RNA
Source: RNAcentral
GACGAACGCUGGCGGCGUGCCUAAUACAUGCAAGUUGAGCGAUGAAGAUUGGUGCUUGCACCAAUUUGCAGAGCAGCGAACGGGUGAGUAACGCGUGGGGAAUCUGCCUUUGAGCGGGGGACAACAUUUGGAAACGAAUGCUAAUACCGCAUAACAACUUUAAACAUAAGUUUUAAGUUUGAAAGAUGCAAUUGCAUCACUCAAAGAUGAUCCCGCGUUGUAUUAGCUAGUUGGUGAGGUAAAGGCUCACCAAGGCGAUGAUACAUAGCCGACCUGAGAGGGUGAUCGGCCACAUUGGGACUGAGACACGGCCCAAACUCCUACGGGAGGCAGCAGUAGGGAAUCUUCGGCAAUGGACGAAAGUCUGACCGAGCAACGCCGCGUGAGUGAAGAAGGUUUUCGGAUCGUAAAACUCGGUUGGUAGAGAAGAACGUUGGUGAGAGUGGAAAGCUCAUCAAGUGACGGUAACUACCCAGAAAGGGACGGCUAACUACGUG